RNAcentral lists this ribosomal RNA (424 nucleotides) under uncultured bacterium. RNAcentral describes it as "bacterial SSU rRNA". It matches the Rfam family "Bacterial small subunit ribosomal RNA", at positions 355 to 796 of the family's 1533-position model. The record is from RNAcentral.
UGGGGAAUAUUGGACAAUGGGCGAAAGCCUGAUCCAGCAAUGCCGCGUGGGUGAAGAAGGUCUUCGGAUUGUAAAGCCCUUUCGACGGGGACGAUGAUGACGGUACCCGUAGAAGAAGCCCCGGCUAACUUCGUGCCAGCAGCCGCGGUAAUACGAAGGGGGCUAGCGUUGCUCGGAUUGACUGGGCGUAAAGGGCGCGUAGGCGGUUUGUACAGUCAGACGUGAAAUUCCUGGGCUCAACCUGGGGGCUGCGUUUGAUACGUGCAGACUUGAGUUCGGAAGAGGGUCGUGGAAUUCCCAGUGUAGAGGUGAAAUUCGUAGAUAUUGGGAAGAACACCGGUGGCGAAGGCGGCGACCUGGUCCGAUACUGACGCUGAGGCGCGAAAGCGUGGGGAGCAAACAGGAUUAGAUACCCCCGUAGUCC